GAUGAACGCUGGCGGCGUGCCUAAUACAUGCAAGUCGAGCGAACAGACGAGGAGCUUGCUCCUCUGACGUUAGCGGCGGACGGGUGAGUAACACGUGGAUAACCUACCUAUAAGACUGGGAUAACUUCGGGAAACCGGAGCUAAUACCGGAUAAUAUAUUGAACCGCAUGGUUCAAUAGUGAAAGACGGUUUUGCUGUCACUUAUAGAUGGAUCCGCGCCGCAUUAGCUAGUUGGUAAGGUAACGGCUUACCAAGGCAACGAUGCGUAGCCGACCUGAGAGGGUGAUCGGCCACACUGGAACUGAGACGCGGUCCAGACUCCUACGGGAGGCAGCAGUAGGGAAUCGUCGGCAAUGGGCGGAAGCCUGACGGAGCAGCGCCGCGUGAGUGAUGAAGGUCUUCGGGUCGUAAAACUCUGUUAUUAGGGAAGAACAAAUGUGUAAGUAACUAUGCACGUCGUGACGGUACCUAAUCAGAAAGCCACGGCUAACUACGUG
RNAcentral lists this ribosomal RNA (497 nucleotides) under uncultured bacterium. RNAcentral describes it as "partial 16S ribosomal RNA". It matches the Rfam family "Bacterial small subunit ribosomal RNA", at positions 28 to 507 of the family's 1533-position model. The record is from RNAcentral.